Molecule: ribosomal RNA, 497 nt
Filed under: uncultured bacterium
Lineage: Bacteria
Description: partial 16S ribosomal RNA
Rfam family: Bacterial small subunit ribosomal RNA
Source: RNAcentral
GGGGGGGGGGGGGGGGGGGCGGGGGACGGGGAGGUGGGGGGGGGGGGCGGGGGGCGUGCGCCGCUGGGGUUGGCGGCGGGCGGGUGGGUAACGCGUGGGUAACCUACCUAUGCGACUGGGAUGACUUCGGGGAACCGGGGCUAAUACCGGAUAAUAUAUUGCACCGCCUGGUUCAAUAGUGAAAGAGUGUUUUGCUGGCCCUUAUCGAUGUCUCCGCGCCGCCUUAGCUAGUUGGUAAGGUAACGGCAUACCAAGGCAACGAUGCGUAGCCGACCUGAGAGGGUGAUCGGCCACACUGGAACUGAGACACGGUCCAGACUCCUACGGGAGGCAGCAGUAGGGAAUCUUCCGCAAUGGGCGAAAGCCUGACGGAGCAACGCCGCGUGAGUGAUGAAGGUCUUCGGAUCGUAAAACUCUGUUAUUAGGGAAGAACAAAUGUGUAAGUAACUAUGCACGUCUUGACGGUACCUAAUCAGAAAGCCACGGCUAACUACGUG